RNAcentral lists this ribosomal RNA (486 nucleotides) under uncultured bacterium. RNAcentral describes it as "partial 16S ribosomal RNA". It matches the Rfam family "Bacterial small subunit ribosomal RNA", at positions 28 to 507 of the family's 1533-position model. The record is from RNAcentral.
GAUGAACGCUAGCGGCAGGCUUAACACAUGCAAGUCGAGGGGCAGCGCGGGAUAGCAAUAUCCUGGCGGCGACCGGCGGACGGGUGCGUAACGCGUGAGCGACAUGCCCGUUGCCCGGGGACAACCGGUGGAAACGCCGACUAAUCCCCGAUGGGAUAUUGUGCCGCAUGGCACGAUAUUGAAAGUUACGGCGGCGACGGAUUGGCUCGCGUCCGAUUAGCUUGUUGGCGGGGUAACGGCCCACCAAGGCUGCGAUCGGUAGGGGUUCUGAGAGGAAGGCCCCCCACAAUGGGACUGAGACACGGCCCAUACUCCUACGGGAGGCAGCAGUGAGGAAUAUUGGUCAAUGGGCGGAAGCCUGAACCAGCCAUGCCGCGUGCGGGAAAGAGGCCCUAUGGGCUGUGAACCGCUUUUGCCCGGGGGCAAUAAGGGCGUCGCGCACGUCCGAUGAGAGUACCAGGCGAAUAAGCAUCGGCUAACUCCGUG